This 492-nucleotide ribosomal RNA is filed under the name uncultured bacterium. Its description in RNAcentral is "partial 16S ribosomal RNA". It matches the Rfam family "Bacterial small subunit ribosomal RNA", at positions 29 to 507 of the family's 1533-position model. The record is from RNAcentral.
AGUGAACGCUGGCGGUAGGCCUAACACAUGCCAGUCGAACGGCAGCACAGUAAGAGCUUGCUCUUACGGGUGGCGAGUGGCGGACGGGUGAGGAAUACAUCGGAAUCUACUUUUUCGUGGGGGAUAACGUAGGGAAACUUACGCUAAUACCGCAUACGACCUACGGGUGAAAGCAGGGGAUCUUCGGACCUUGCGCGAUUGAAUGAGCCGAUGUCGGAUUAGCUAGUUGGCGGGGUAAAGGCCCACCAAGGCGACGAUCCGUAGCUGGUCUGAGAGGAUGAUCAGCCACAAUGGAACGGAGACGCGGUCCAGACGCCUACGGGAGGCAGCAGUGGGGAAUAUUGGACAAUGGGCGCAAGCCUGAUCCAGCCAUACCGCGUGGGUGAAGAAGGCCUUCGGGUUGUAAAGCCCUUUUGUUGGGAAAGAAAAGCAGCAGGUUAAUACCACGCUGUUCUGACGGUACCCAAAGAAUAAGCACCGGCUAACUUCGUG